GCUGCCUGCACCUCGGCUGAUCCGCUGCCACUUGGGGCCUGCGCCAGGAAAGCAGCCUUCACAACUGAAAAAGAGGCCAGACAGCAACGAUUUUAGACGCAAGAGAAUGCAGUCUGCUGUGGCAGCGGAAGAGAAGCGGCUGAGUCCCGGCUGCACCUUUCAAGAAAGUGGAGGGUGCAGAUGUGAUGGAAACUCCUGUGGAGGUGGGGGUGGGGCAGGGAUGUUCCAGGGCAGAUGAGAGCAGGCUGCUGUCAACAGUCCCCACCUCUCUCUGCCCUUGCAGACCCAUGACACUGAGCAGCCAGGGGGCCCAUGACACUGAGCAGCCAGGGGGUGGGAGAGGCUCAGGGUGGUGCGCAGAACAGAAGCCCCUUGGCAGAGGCCAGCCCUGGUCUUGUGUGGUUUGCAGACUUGGAAGUUCAAGAACUGACUCAAAGGUAUUGCUUAUGAGGAAAAAGAACCAAAACUACAAUGAGAAGGAGCCACAUACACGGUGGAGCUCUACUGGAUCCAGCUUGCAGGCCCUUAGGAUGCCUUUCCAAUGGAGGCAAUCCCUGAUCCCAUAGCAGGGCCUGCACUACCCACCCCACCUCCCGCCCAUCGCUGUGACACACUCUCAGGGUGGCCCCAAAACAUAAAACAGUGUUCUCAUGUGGGCGAUUCUGUCCCAAGGGCACAUUUGACAAUGUGUGGAGAUGUUUAUGGUUGUCACAACUGGGAGGGGGCGCUACUGACAGCAAGUGGGCAGAGGCGAGGGUGCUGCCGAACCUCCCACAAUGCACACGAUGGCCCCGCAACAAACUCAUCCAUUCCAAAACAGCCAGAGUGCCAAGGCUGAGAAGCACUGAGCCAGACCUUCCCAGAGGCAGAGCCUGGGGCUGCCAGACUUUCUAACCAAAAGCUCUCAGUUCACUGGCAAAGACAGUCACCAAACAGAUGCCCAGGAGAUCUGAUGGGCCUGCGUUUACCUCCCUCCCUCACUCUGCGCCCGAGGACACAGUAUAUGCUCUGCGCCAGUGACCGAGACAUGGUGUUUUUCCUGUAUUCCUGUUCAAUUCCUGCCCUGGAACUCUGGGCCCGACUGUGGACGUGUCCCCUCACCUGCAAGGGCCUCCAUCAGGGUACUGCUCUCCUUGGCACCUGGGGGCUCUCCUCCUGGCUCCACCUUGCAGAACGCCAGCAGUCAGAACAAUUUCUGCUGAGGUAAAAGAAAAGGAAAAUAAAUCGCAGCCAGGGUUAGGUACAGGGGCCGGGGCAGUGAGGUAAGAAUGCCUUCAGAGGAGACGGUCAGAAUAGGCCCUGCGGGAGCUGCAACAUCCAGCUGGGCCCACCCCUGUCACUGGCAAUCAAGGUCCUGGCUCAACAGUCACUCCCAGAAGCGGUGUUCUGCGGGAUGCCCAGGAACUCUGGUCCAGGCUGUGCCGGUUCCCCUCCACCCAGAGCUGACACAGAGCACAGGUGGGCAUGGCCACAGCUUCCUAGCUCCAUGAUGAGCAAGCUCACGCCCUCCAGCAGUCUGCAAAUAGCUAGAGAAAUUCCCAUGGAUUUUAAAAUUUUCUUGGUAGUUAUAAGGAUUUGAAUACAAAAAUGUUAAACCAGAAAAAAAGAACAAAUUAUUUGAAUGGUAAAGUUUUGGACUGAGGAAUGAUUUUUCUAAGCCUGACAUCAGAUGUCUGACAAAUUUAACUACAUAAAAAAAUUUAAUGUAAAAAAACCAAAA
This is a non-coding RNA of Chlorocebus sabaeus (green monkey), 1720 nucleotides long. Lineage: Eukaryota; Metazoa; Chordata; Mammalia; Primates; Cercopithecidae. The record is from RefSeq and is a predicted model, not a curated record.